Molecule: non-coding RNA, 89 nt
Organism: Acanthosepion pharaonis
Lineage: Eukaryota; Metazoa; Mollusca; Cephalopoda; Sepiida; Sepiidae
Source: the annotation of a GenBank genome assembly
AUGUUCUCAUUCACUCACACAAGUUAAGCAACAUUGAGCCUGAUCAGUAUCUAGAUAGGUGACCUCUUGGGAAUACCAGGUGCUGUAAG